GAGAACCUUCAAAUGCUAGGGUUUCAUAAGAACCCUAGAAGCGAGAAUGGCCUGGAAAGUCUGAUCUGAGCCAAACGAGUUAGAGAUAAGCUCAUAGGACUAGGAUAUGCUGGAGACAAGCCGUAGAUGACUGUAAAACUUGGAUCAGCGGGGAUUUGAGCAAAGGCUUUUGAAGUUGGACCUUGAAUCUUCAAGUAACAGGUGCACAAGAGCACAUGGAGGAGAGUACAGGUACCCAGGGCAUGGGAUGCCAUGGAUUCCGAAGAAACAUGGGUGGAAAACGACGGAAUAUGGCUAGGGUUUCGG
This 306-nucleotide long non-coding RNA is filed under the name Nicotiana benthamiana. Its description in RNAcentral is "long non-coding RNA (NBEN_LNC020040)". Lineage: Eukaryota; Viridiplantae; Streptophyta; Magnoliopsida; Solanales; Solanaceae. The record is from RNAcentral.